Molecule: long non-coding RNA, 632 nt
Organism: Pimephales promelas (fathead minnow)
Lineage: Eukaryota; Metazoa; Chordata; Actinopteri; Cypriniformes; Leuciscidae
Source: RefSeq, a predicted model, not a curated record
GGGAAGGGGUGUCAGUGAGAAUCCGUCCAGCUGUUCAUUGUGUCAACCUGUUGCUUCCCUUGAGAAAAUGUUAGGCAGAAGUGGGUCUUAAAAGAACAGGGGCGCCGGCUGAGGGGUGUCAACAGGCCCUCCGUCAAAUCCUCUUUGAGGCCAGUGUCAGGUACUUUGAUUGGCGGGCCUUCGUGAGGAGAGAUUCUCUUCUCAUCUGUCCGGAGACCAUGACAGAAUUCUUUGGGGUGAAGGAUCCAGAAGAAAAGAUGGAUUUUUCCUCUGAACUGUCACCAAAGGGUUAAAUUUGCUAUUUGAUUGACUUCUAUUGUGCCAGUUGGUGGCUAUAAGCUCACGAGUCCUAAUUAUAGCUCAUAUGAGAGAGUGGGAAUCUACCAAAGUUCAUGUCUGGUGAACUCUGACCUCUGUACCAUUUUAGAUUGGAUCAAAACAUGACAGAAUACAAACUUCAAAUUUGCAUUAUAUAUGGUUAUAUAGCUAAAUAAUAAAGAUAGUACACAAAGUUCCAUAUUUUAGCAUUUUGUAUCACCAGUAUAUAUUAUAGAGUACAUCAGAACCACAUUUCACACAGUAAAGAAGAAACCAUACACUACUGUUCAAAAGUCUGGACUCAUUAGAUUUAU